This 63-nucleotide transfer RNA is filed under the name Mesargus serrata. RNAcentral's name for it is "tRNA-His". Lineage: Eukaryota; Metazoa; Arthropoda; Insecta; Hemiptera; Cicadellidae. The record is from RNAcentral.
AAUUAGAUAGUUUAAUUAAAAAUAAAAAUUUGUGGAAUUUUUGAUAUCUUUAGAUUCUAGUUU